UGCAAGUCGAGCGGUAAGGCCCUUCGGGGUACACGAGCGGCGAACGGGUGAGUAACACGUGGGUGAUCUGCCCUGCACUUCGGGAUAAGCCUGGGAAACUGGGUCUAAUACCGGAUAUGACCAAAGGCUGCAUGGCUUUUGGUGGAAAGGUUUACUGGUGCAGGAUGGGCCCGCGGCCUAUCAGCUUGUUGGUGGGGUAAUGGCCUACCAAGGCGACGACGGGUAGCCGACCUGAGAGGGUGACCGGCCACACUGGGACUGAGACACGGCCCAGACUCCUACGGGAGGCAGCAGUGGGGAAUAUUGCACAAUGGGCGAAAGCCUGAUGCAGCGACGCCGCGUGAGGGAUGAAGGCCUUCGGGUUGUAAACCUCUUUCAGCAGGGACGAAGCGAAAGUGACGGUACCUGCAGAAGAAGCACCGGCUAACUACGUGCCAGCAGCCGCGGUAAUACGUAGGGUGCGAGCGUUGUCCGGAAUUACUGGGCGUAAAGAGUUCGUAGGCGGUUUGUCACGUCGUCUGUGAAAACCCACCGCUCAACGGUGGGCCUGCAGGCGAUACGGGCAGACUUGAGUACUGCAGGGGAGACUGGA
This 592-nucleotide ribosomal RNA is filed under the name Rhodococcus sp. JA12. RNAcentral describes it as "bacterial SSU rRNA". It matches the Rfam family "Bacterial small subunit ribosomal RNA", at positions 56 to 665 of the family's 1533-position model. Lineage: Bacteria; Bacillati; Actinomycetota; Actinomycetes; Mycobacteriales; Nocardiaceae. The record is from RNAcentral.